RNAcentral lists this ribosomal RNA (1475 nucleotides) under Salmonella enterica. RNAcentral's name for it is "bacterial SSU rRNA". It matches the Rfam family "Bacterial small subunit ribosomal RNA". Lineage: Bacteria; Pseudomonadati; Pseudomonadota; Gammaproteobacteria; Enterobacterales; Enterobacteriaceae. RNAcentral also lists the same sequence under 1 other name. The record is from RNAcentral.
GCAAGUCGAACGGUAACAGGAAGCAGCUUGCUGCUUUGCUGACGAGUGGCGGACGGGUGAGUAAUGUCUGGGAAACUGCCUGAUGGAGGGGGAUAACUACUGGAAACGGUGGCUAAUACCGCAUAACGUCGCAAGACCAAAGAGGGGGACCUUCGGGCCUCUUGCCAUCAGAUGUGCCCAGAUGGGAUUAGCUUGUUGGUGAGGUAACGGCUCACCAAGGCGACGAUCCCUAGCUGGUCUGAGAGGAUGACCAGCCACACUGGAACUGAGACACGGUCCAGACUCCUACGGGAGGCAGCAGUGGGGAAUAUUGCACAAUGGGCGCAAGCCUGAUGCAGCCAUGCCGCGUGUAUGAAGAAGGCCUUCGGGUUGUAAAGUACUUUCAGCGGGGAGGAAGGUGUUGUGGUUAAUAACCGCAGCAAUUGACGUUACCCGCAGAAGAAGCACCGGCUAACUCCGUGCCAGCAGCCGCGGUAAUACGGAGGGUGCAAGCGUUAAUCGGAAUUACUGGGCGUAAAGCGCACGCAGGCGGUCUGUCAAGUCGGAUGUGAAAUCCCCGGGCUCAACCUGGGAACUGCAUUCGAAACUGGCAGGCUUGAGUCUUGUAGAGGGGGGUAGAAUUCCAGGUGUAGCGGUGAAAUGCGUAGAGAUCUGGAGGAAUACCGGUGGCGAAGGCGGCCCCCUGGACAAAGACUGACGCUCAGGUGCGAAAGCGUGGGGAGCAAACAGGAUUAGAUACCCUGGUAGUCCACGCCGUAAACGAUGUCUACUUGGAGGUUGUGCCCUUGAGGCGUGGCUUCCGGAGCUAACGCGUUAAGUAGACCGCCUGGGGAGUACGGCCGCAAGGUUAAAACUCAAAUGAAUUGACGGGGGCCCGCACAAGCGGUGGAGCAUGUGGUUUAAUUCGAUGCAACGCGAAGAACCUUACCUGGUCUUGACAUCCACAGAAGAAUCCAGAGAUGGAUUUGUGCCUUCGGGAACUGUGAGACAGGUGCUGCAUGGCUGUCGUCAGCUCGUGUUGUGAAAUGUUGGGUUAAGUCCCGCAACGAGCGCAACCCUUAUCCUUUGUUGCCAGCGGUUAGGCCGGGAACUCAAAGGAGACUGCCAGUGAUAAACUGGAGGAAGGUGGGGAUGACGUCAAGUCAUCAUGGCCCUUACGACCAGGGCUACACACGUGCUACAAUGGCGCAUACAAAGAGAAGCGACCUCGCGAGAGCAAGCGGACCUCAUAAAGUGCGUCGUAGUCCGGAUUGGAGUCUGCAACUCGACUCCAUGAAGUCGGAAUCGCUAGUAAUCGUGGAUCAGAAUGCCACGGUGAAUACGUUCCCGGGCCUUGUACACACCGCCCGUCACACCAUGGGAGUGGGUUGCAAAAGAAGUAGGUAGCUUAACCUUCGGGAGGGCGCUUACCACUUUGUGAUUCAUGACUGGGGUGAAGUCGUAACAAGGUAACCGUAGGGGAACCUGCGGUUGGA